This 236-nucleotide ribosomal RNA is filed under the name uncultured bacterium. Its description in RNAcentral is "partial 16S ribosomal RNA". It matches the Rfam family "Bacterial small subunit ribosomal RNA", at positions 105 to 334 of the family's 1533-position model. The record is from RNAcentral.
CGGGGGUAGGAGGUAACGCGUGGAUAACCUGCCUCACACUGGGGGAUAACAGUUAGAAAUGACUGCUAAUACCGCAUGAGCACACAGUACCGCAUGGUACGGUGUGAAAAACUCCGGUGGUGUGAGAUGGAUCCGCGUCUGAUUAGCCAGUUGGCGGGGUAACGGCCCACCAAAGCGACGAUCAGUAGCCGACCUGAGAGGGUGACCGGCCACAUUGGGACUGAGACACGGCCCAA